RNAcentral lists this ribosomal RNA (253 nucleotides) under uncultured bacterium. Its description in RNAcentral is "partial 16S ribosomal RNA". It matches the Rfam family "Bacterial small subunit ribosomal RNA", at positions 524 to 776 of the family's 1533-position model. The record is from RNAcentral.
UACAGAGGUCCCAAGCGUUGUUCGGAUUCAUUGGGCGUAAAGGGUGCGUAGGUGGCGCGCUAAGUCGGGUGUGAAAUUUCGGGGCUUAACUCCGAAACUGCAUUCGAUACUGGCGUGCUUGAGGACUGGAGAGGAGACUGGAAUUCAUGGUGUAGCAGUGAAAUGCGUAGAGAUCAUGAGGAAGACCAGUGGCGAAGGCGGGUCUCUGGACAGUUCCUGACACUGAGACACGAAGGCCAGGGGAGCAAACGGG